GCUCAGCUAGCUCAGUUGGUAGAACAUGGGACUCUUAAUCCCAGAGUCGUGGGUUUGAGCCCCAUGUUGGGUG
Molecule: non-coding RNA, 73 nt
Organism: Apodemus sylvaticus (European woodmouse)
Lineage: Eukaryota; Metazoa; Chordata; Mammalia; Rodentia; Muridae
Source: the annotation of a RefSeq genome assembly